CACGAACCGUACGAACGUUAUUCGGAAUUACUGGGCUUAAAGGGUUUGUAGGCGGCCAUGUAAGUCAGGUGUGAAAUCCCUCGGCUCAACCGAGGAACGGCGCUUGAUACUGCAUGGCUUGAGGGAGACAGGGGUAAGCGGAACUGAUGGUGGAGCGGUGAAAUGCGUUGAUAUCAUCAGGAACACCGGUGGCGAAAGCGGCUUACUGGGUCUCUUCUGACGCUGAGGAACGAAAGCCAGGGGAGCAAACGGG
RNAcentral lists this ribosomal RNA (253 nucleotides) under uncultured bacterium. RNAcentral describes it as "partial 16S ribosomal RNA". It matches the Rfam family "Bacterial small subunit ribosomal RNA", at positions 524 to 776 of the family's 1533-position model. The record is from RNAcentral.